GAGUAACGUUAGAUACUCGUAAAUUAGAAUUUUAAAUUCAUUCGUAAAGAUGCAGGGGUCUUAAAUAUUUUUUUAAAUCAAAUCAUGUGAUUUGGGGUCAGUCAAAGCGAGAGAAUCCAAUGGAAAAGAGAUGCUAACAACGACAAUAACAAUGCUGAGAUGGGUUCUUCUUCCAAAUGGGAAUCUCUCUUUUCAAACCCUUGUUCUUGAUAUCCACCGUUUCUUUGGUUUGUCGAUCUUCGGGACGCGUGUGUUUCGAUCAUUUGUCCGGCGAAGAUGGUGACAACACCCUCCAUUUUACCAUUCUCAACUGCGAUUGCUGUCGGAGGCUGGUUGGAUCCAAAGUUACCCAUUUCAAGAAGGCGUUUCUGAUGAAAUUUCUUCGUGGUGUCAUGGAUGUGUAUAGACGUGACGAUGAUGAUGAUGAUGAUGAUGAUGAUGAUGAUGAUGAAGAUGGUAUUAGGGUUACUUCGAUUACCAGAAUGGUGUUUCCUUCUGGGCCUCUUCAAUUGACUGAUCAUCACCUUCUUUACCUUGCGGAAAGGUCACCAGAGCUCAGAGAACUCUCCCUACCUUUUGGGAGAAAUAUUAAACAUGAAGGAUUGUCAAGGGCAAUCCGCUACUGGAACAGGAUGGAGGAGAUGUCAAUUGGUCCAGUUAUAUGCAAUAAUGACAUUUUUCGUAUCAUUGAAGCGAUAGGCAUAAACUGCAAGAAGCUAGAAGCCCUAGAAUUUUUAGGCUUGGUCUUAACUCAACAAUUGUCUCCUGAAAUUGCCAAGAGUCUAAAGGGACUGAAACUAUUGAGAUUAGAAAUGGUUCAUAUUUCAAAAGUUAGUCUGAAGAAUUUCCUAUCAAAAUGUAAAAAACUUCAGAAAGUAGAGAUCUGGCAUUGUCUUACUUUAGAAGGUAUGGAAUCUAAUUUCUUAGCAUCAUGUGAGAUAAAGAAGACAGAAAUGAAUGGUGUUACUAAAUGGUCCCUUAGCAGAGAUGCAGAACUGUAUGACAUGAAGAAUAUUCUGAAUUUACUUUGGCAGUGAAGUAAUUGACCGAGCUUAUGAAGAAUCAAACAUGAAAGGAAUGGAUCAUGGAUCGUUGAUAAAUCAGAAAGUUCAUAAAGUAUUUCUUGAUCAGGAAACUCUUUUCCUUAUGAUCUUCAUAGCAAGGAAUGGAUCAUGGAUCGUUGUCAUCUUCUAGCAGUUUCAGUCAAAGAAUUGUUAUGUGCGUGUCAUCUUAUUUGGAAUUAAUUUGUGGCUGCACUGCUAUGCUAUUGGGGCUGACUCCAUAGAUACGGAUAGGUUGUGGAAAAUUUGAAGAAGAGGUCGUAACAUUCACGUCCCCAUGACUGGUAGACCCAAGCAAUGGUUGAUAACAAGAACGCUGGUACUGGGAAAGGGAACAUGUAUAUCAAGAGAUCUCUGUUCAGGCCUUGUAUUUUUUCUUAUCCCAUCUCAGUCUCACCAGCAUUAUUCUCUUGUCGCUUCUCUCACCUUCAAUUCAUCUCUUCUUUCAACUGCUCUCCCUGCCAUUGCUGGUUUGAUCAGUAACUUAGUAUGAAAAGAAAUGUACAUGUUCUGUCUCUGUGGACGUUAGGACAAGUAGUCUUGAAGGAGGUAAGUUUUUUAUUCAGUGGAUUUUUUCCAUGCCAUUGCAAAUUCAUCCACAAUUGUUAAUGUCAAUGUUUUCAGGCUUCAUAACUCCGAAGAAGUGUCUUCAAAAUUUAGAAGGAUGCAUUUAUGAUGCAAUUUUUGUUUCAGUUGGACACUUGCUCACUCUGUUCAAAUUUCAUUCACUUUUCUGCAACUUGUAUCAAAAUCCGGUGCUUUGUUGGUGAAUUAGAAUUGGAGUUAAUUUUCAUGAUUUUGAAUUUCCAUGGAUUGACAAAAGUUUUGUUCAUCUCUUUGUGUCAGACUUGAAGCACAAAAUAUUUGCGUAUGAAAAGAAGAUUAAUUAGACUUGAAGCACAAAACUACCUCUAUUUGCCACCCUUCGGGUUUUAGGUAGCCAUCACGCUCAAAAUCUUUAGGGAUUCUCAUGGAGGAACCAAAUAGAGGAAGGAGAGGUGGGAUUAUCCUCAUCGUCACCCUUAUUGCUUGCCAUGUGUAUUUUGUUAGGUCAUCUCUAGUGAGAAGCUCUUUGAAACUGUUUUCCUAGCCCUGUUUUCUUGUUCUGUGAGCCCAGUUGUUGUAUAGUUUUUUGAUAAAUGUAUUUACUUCCUAUUCUUGUCCAGUUGAGGUACAAUUACUUGAGUGCAUAUUCAUGCAUGUGUAUGAGUUGUGCAUCUCUUUUUUCCUGUGCAUGAAGAACCUUAGCAUGAAUGUUGAAGCCAUUGACAGAACUGCAUUAGGAAAGUUAGGUCAGACAAUGCCCCAUAUCGUAAAAUAUAAUAAUAAUAGCAUUAUCCACAAUAUCUUCCCAUCAUUGGGACUGCAUUAUCUUCACUAUGUUUUUGAGUGUGCAAGUGUUGAGCUCAUCUUCUGUGAUGCACAGCAUUAUCCCAUUCAUCUACUCGUGUAUGAGGUCAGGAACAACUUUAUGGAUCCUUCUGCUUGAUUUAAGUCCAACGUUGAAACUAGUCAACAAAAAAUGUAAAAUUACUUAGGAAAAUCACAUUCCUUGCGCCAUGAGGUGAAAAUCAUGAACAGGGUAAAUUGUGAAUAGUCACAGCCCACAUGUCAGGACAUUAAAAUCACUGCCUAGCGUACGAAUUUACUUUCCUUGUUUGAAGGGCAUAAAUGUUGUCAAAUAUGAUUUUCUUCAUCAAUCAAAUAGCUGGCACAAAAAUAACAUUAGUUGCCUUCUUAGUUUCCGAAUUAUGCAGGAUGUGUUUUCUGACAAAGUGCAUUUACCUCAUUUGUCUUCUUUGUUUUAGAAAACUAUCCGACGUAUAACUCAAAUUUGGAACUAUAUGUUUGUAUCAAUUGACAAGAAGUUAGGAAUUGGGUAUUUUUGAAUGGGGUUCCGACACCUUUCUGAUGUGUUACCAAUCACAACUAGGAAGAUUCUAUAUUAUUGGGUUAUGUUUUUGUUUCAUUUUAAGAAAUAAAACAGUCAAUUUACGAGAAAUGGUCUUUUUUCUCACCCUUCUUCUGGGAUUUAGCAUUCCCUGAGCAAAAUGUACAGUUUUGUCUUUUGUCAUUAAUCAGUACUUGAACUACUAGUGACUCCAUGCAAAUAUGAAGUUAUCAUUGAAAGACAGAAUACAGCAUUCAGUUUCUGGAGUUCAAAGGAAUCCUUAACAACUAUAGUCAUAUGUAAUCAUAGUUAGAUGAGGUGGUCUUGAGGCUUUUCUAGGGUUUACAUUUACUUUUUUGAUAUCUAAUGAUUAGAGAGCUGUUUGUGAAUAUUGGCUUGUUUUCUUCAUUAUAUUUGACAGUGGUUUUUCUUUGUCUUUACUUGUAAGAGGACUCAUUGUCCUCAUCUUGUAACCUCACUUUCUUUAUCAAUAAAUUCUGUUUUUGUUGUUGAUAAAAAAAAAUAAAAUUACAUUAGAUGGUGUACUCCUGCUUCCUUUCUGUAAGGGUUGAAAAUGGUGGGAAUGUUCCUUUUUGGGUAGAUACUUGGCUUGGGGAUUCUUCUUUUGAUGUUUUGUUCCCACAUUUGUACCAUUUGGUCUGUUUUCAUAAUGCUCCAUCGCAUAUAUGGUGCUUUCCCAAUUGGCACCAAUUUCAUGAAAUUUCAAUUUUUUUAUAGAAAUAUUAAUGAUCGUGAAUUGAUUGAGUUGGCAACUUGGCAUCCUUGUUGAGCAUCCUUGAAGGUUUCUCCUUCAGACCUUAUGUCAAUGAUAAAUGGGUUUGGUCACUUAAUUCUUCGGGGAUCUUCUCAAGCAAAUAAUUUUUCAACAAGAUCAUUGGUAAUCACAAUGCUCGUCCUUUUCUCCAUCAUUCUAGGAUUUGAAACAAUUUGAAAUGAAGCAAAUUGUCAAGGUUUUUGUGUGGAGUUUGGCUCACAAGAGUCUUAUGACCAAUUACAUAUUUCAAAAAAGAAGACCCAAUUGCGAUCUUCGCCCUCAAUGGUGUAUUGUAUGUAGCAGGGAUGGAAAUCAUUGGAUCCCUUGUUUUUGCAUUGUCUUUCGGCCUUGUUUAUAUGGCACUGGUUAUUCCAAGUGGCGGAUAUGUGUUGGGUGGCUUCAUCUUCUUGUUCUCAAUUGCUUUUGAUAGACUUUAGAGCUUUUGGUACCAAAUAAGUAGCAUAGACAUGGACACGGGACAUGAUACGGACACGGAUGCGCGACACAUCAAUUUUCAAAAAGUGCAGGACAGGACACACUUGGGACAAGUUAAAAUUUUAUAUUUUUACAAAUUUAUUGUAUGUCAUAUAUGUAAGUUAAUACAAAUUACAUUAAAAAGCUGUAUAUUUCAUAACUUAAACAUCAAGAUAUCAUUCACUUAACAAUUACAUUCUAAGUAAUGCAAAACAAUUAUAGAAUAUUGUAUGCACAUGAUGUAUUAAGAUUAUAAAUGUUUCAAAACAUAUUUACAGUUCAUAAAUUGUGUUUAAAAGUAUGCAGAAUAUUGUUAUUAUUAAGAGAUUCAUCAUAUAAGAUGUGCUCGAAGGAUUGAAGUAGUGUCGCCAAAGUGUUCGUGAAGUGUCAGUAAAAUGUCCAGUAUUAUGAAUUUGAUGUUUUAACUAGGACACAUUGAAGGAGUGUUGGACACGCUUUUAGGAGUGUCCGAAGAGUGUUGGUGUCGAACACGAGGUAUCGGACAUGACAUGCUUUCUCUACAGAAGUUCCCGUGCUUCUUAGGGUACCAACAUGAAAACUUGGCUUUGUGGAAUUGUCUUUUGUUCAUGGGUAUUUGGUUGGAGUGCAAUAUGCUAGAAUCUUUGAGGACAAAUUGAAGGACAUUGAUUCUCUUUGGGAUAGAGUGUUUUUUAUCCUCAUUUGGGGCUUUGCUUUCUUUUCCUUUAAAGGGGAUUCAAUUAUUUUAGUUUUUUUAGAAUCAGUGGGCAUUAUGUCAUUUGUAGUCUAUAACCUUGAUGAGUUUUGCUCUUUUUAUUUAUUUUUAUCUUUUUUUGGUGGACUUCUUGUUUCCCACUUUUUUGUAAUUUUGUUUAUUUAUGCUUUUUAUUAUAUUAUUUUUGUUUCUGAUAAAAAAAAGAUCCUGUAAUAGUCAUUUUGAUAAACACUCCCCAUUUGAUUUACUGAAGUUAGUUCCUGACAAAAAUAUUCGUGUUUUAUUGAGUUACCUCACUUUUAACUUACAACUAGUUGCAAGGAAAAUUUUUCUAGGAACACUCUCCAUUAGUUUAAAGGGAAUUUAAUUCUUGUCACAAAAGUAGUGCUUUAGUGAGUGACCUAAGACCUUAGUUUCAACUUAUUGCUAAUGAUACGAUAUGCUUCAAAGAAAUCUUUUCCAGGUACAUUGAGUGUUCUGUUAAUGUAAGAAAGUUUUUGUUAGAUUGAGUGGGAGAUUUUCUACUACCUUUGUUAAGGACAUAGAGAAGCACAUGUACAAUACUAGUUUCUUGUUGAUAUUCUUCCUUUCUUUUUUAGAAAGUGAAAUUUUAUUGCAAUGGUUGGGUUAAGAAUUUUUGUAGACCAUAUUUUGAUCAUGCAUAUCUAGGUGUUACAUGAUUGGCCCUUUAAUCUUAUUGUGUCUUAAAUGCUUCUGGUGUCUGGAACUGUCCACUUGCUUGUAAUAUUUCGUCAAUAAAUUCUUGUAGAAUUCAAUUACCGUCCAUCUUCAUCUAAUAAUUUUGAUGUGUUAGCAUCGUGUAAUUCAAAAAAGGUGGAGAAAACAAAUGCGGUCGAGUGUAAGGAAUAGGAGAAGGUGUAUUCCGAAGGUUUGCACAACCUGGGGGAUGUGAAUGAAAGGAAAAUGAUGAGCACCCCUUCAAGGGAGGAGACUUUAGAUGGGCUUGUCCUUUCUCAAAGUGUGGCUUCUAAAGAUGUGUGUUCUACUCCUAGAGAAAAGGAAAUCAAGGAUGAACUAAAAGAAAUAUGGAUUGCAUUCUUUGUUCUAGAGAUGAGACCAAGAGGAAGCUCGACAAGAAGAUUCUUAAUCUAAAGCUUGCAUGGGCAAAAUCCUUUGCUAAAUUGUCUACCAAUCCUGAGAACUUUAUUGUGAAAUUGCAAGAAAAUGUGUGAUAGUGGUUUUCUUUCUUUUUAUGUUUUGUUUUUGUGUCUAGCUUCUCGGGUUGUGAGAAGUGUGUUUUGUGCCCAUUCUUUUGGGUUGUGAGUGGCUUGUUUCUUGGUGGUUUGGGUUUGGUGUCUCGUGUUAAUUGAGUGUCCUUUGUGCCUAUUCCUCUCGGGUUGUGAGGGGCUUUCCUUUCUAGGUUAGAUCCUUUGUGUGUGCCUCUGUAGCAAGGUGGCCUCUUGGUAGUGUUUUGAGUUCCGUUGUAUAUUCUUCUUUUUUGGGUACUUUCUUUUUUGGUAGUAAAAGCUUACUAAACAAAGGGUUGUGGCUGCUCAUUGCAAAGUACAAUCCUAUCAUUAAUAAGUACAAAUCUAUUUGCAACUGGCUUGAUUAGAACCAUGGGGCGCCAAAGAGGUUGACCUUUGAAAUUGACCCAUGUUCUGUAUUCUCAUUUGUAGCCAUUGUUCCUUGGGUUGCUUAGUGCUCUCAAGAAGUUGAGGCUUUGGCCUAGAAAAUGGAUCCCAAUUAAAAAGAGGGCGGCAAGUAGAAGAGCAGGAGAAGGUGGCGAAGCAAAAAAGUGAAACAAAUUGCAUCACUUGUGGCAGAUUCCAUGAAUGAAAGGAAAAAAGCUUUUAGAGUACCAAAACGUGAAAGAAUCGUCAAUGCAGGAAAGCUUACAUGUGAACUGGGUCACAAAGUAAAGCUAGUGUUUCAAUUCUGGCGAACUCAUACCCAGUACACAUUCUUGGUCCUCCUCGAAUGCCACAAAGCAGUAAGGGGCUGGUGGUUGCUGCUCAAAGCGUGUUGGAUUGAUCUUUGAUGGAUUUGGGAAAAUCGUCUCAUCCAUGCUUCAAAAAGGAUACAAGUGCUCCCCUUAUUCACUUGUGAUCUUCGCCACUCAACUCCAGUAUAUUUUUCUCACCACAGACUCGCCUCAUUGAUGUUGGUUGGAAAACGUCUUGCUGUCACACGUGUAUACAAAUUUGUUUGCAGCUUGUCCAUGGAGAAAAACUAUAGGAGUUCCAGAGAGGCUGAGUUUGGAAUUGGUACUGUACUUUCUUAUUCUUUCAUGGAACCAUGCCUCACCCUUGUUUGCUCGCAUGGCAUGUAGAAGGCUGAGGCUACGGCUUAUGAUGGGUAAUCCCAUGGAACCUGGUGGGAGCUUGUUGGAAGUUUUCUUGGUUAGGAAGAGGAAGAUAGGAGUAAGUAAAAGUAGCAAACUCAGAUAGUUAACAAAUUCCAUGGCUCGUGGGGAGAGAGAGUGGUAUAUUGGUUUUGAAACUUUAAGGUGGUGGAAGACUAUACAUAUAUGGGCGAUUUUGAGUUUGACAAAUUGAGGAACACUGCUGGAAGCUUGUGACAUACAUGAACUGUUUUAUGGAGAAUGUGUACACCUACAAUUUGAUAUCUCCUUUAAUCUUCCAGCAAUUCUUUUCGUUUGGACCCGUUUGCAUAGUCUACAGAAUGAGUGUCUGGUAUUAUCAGCUGCUUUGACGGAAUCAGGAAACUCAAACUAAAGCUUCUUUCAAAGCCGCCUUGACAGACAUUGAAGCGAUAAGAUGGUUGAGGUGCGAUGGGGGCUUGGCUCUUUUUUAUUGUUCUUCUUGUUACUGCUGAUAUGUUCUUUGAUGUUGCUGGUGGUGUAGGGUUGCUGCUUUGCUGGCUAGGGAGGUCUUGCUUUCAUAGCCUUAAGUUAUAACUUAUAAGGCUGUGUUGUUGCUUUUUAAGGCUGAGGGUUGUUCUUGAUUUGGGAGUUUUGGAGAAGUUUUUCUGUUACUCUUUUGAGUUGUGUGAGAAUGAGUUCUGCUUUUGUUCUUUCUCUCUGUGUGCGCGUGUGUGUGUGUGUGUGUGUUUUUCGGUUUAGCUUUGAUUCUUUCUGCACUUCCCUCUACUUUAUUGAUGUAUUUCAUUUCUUGAUUUAUAUCAAUAAAGUGAUUUUUUUUCA
Non-coding RNA from Camellia sinensis, 8022 nucleotides. The record is from RefSeq and is a predicted model, not a curated record. Lineage: Eukaryota; Viridiplantae; Streptophyta; Magnoliopsida; Ericales; Theaceae.